RNAcentral lists this ribosomal RNA (234 nucleotides) under uncultured bacterium. Its description in RNAcentral is "partial 16S ribosomal RNA". It matches the Rfam family "Bacterial small subunit ribosomal RNA", at positions 100 to 334 of the family's 1533-position model. The record is from RNAcentral.
CGGGACGGGUGAGUAAUGUCGUGGGAAACUGCCUGAUGGAGGGGGAUAACUACUGGAAACGGUAGCUAAUACCGCAUAACGUCGCAAGACCAAAGAGGGGGACCUUCGGGCCUCUUGCCAUCGGAUGUGCCCAGAUGGGAUUAGCUAGUAGGUGGGGUAACGGCUCACCUAGGCGACGAUCCCUAGCUGGUCUGAGAGGAUGACCAGCCACACUGGAACUGAGACACGGUCCAG